GACGAACUCUGGCGGCGUGCUUAACACAUGCAAGUCGAACGGUAAGGCUCCAGCUUGCUGGGGUACACGAGUGGCGAACGGGUGAGUAACACGUGGGUGACCUGCCCUGCACUUCGGGAUAAGCCUGGGAAACUGGGUCUAAUACCGGAUAGGACCGCACCGUGAGGGUGUGGUGGAAAGUUUUUUCGGUGUGGGAUGGGCCCGCGGCCUAUCAGCUUGUUGGUGGGGUAAUGGCCUACCAAGGCGGCGACGGGUAGCCGGCCUGAGAGGGUGGACGGCCACAUUGGGACUGAGACACGGCCCAGACUCCUACGGGAGGCAGCAGUGGGGAAUAUUGCACAAUGGGCGGAAGCCUGAUGCAGCGACGCCGCGUGGGGGAUGACGGCCUUCGGGUUGUAAACUCCUUUCACCAUCGACGAAGGGUUUCUGACGGUAGAUGGAGAAGAAGCACCGGCUAACCACGUGCCAGCAGCCGCGGUAAUACGUAGGGUGCGAGCGUUGUCCGGAAUUACUGGGCGUAAAGAGCUCGUAGGUGGUUUGUCGCGUCGUCUGUGAAAUUCCGGGGCUUAACUCCGGGCGUGCAGGCGAUACGGGCAUAACUUGAGUACUGUAGGGGAGACUGGAAUUCCUGGUGUAGCGGUGAAAUGCGCAGAUAUCAGGAGGAACACCGGUGGCGAAGGCGGGUCUCUGGGCAGUAACUGACGCUGAGGAGCGAAAGCAUGGGGAGCGAACAGGAUUAGAUACCCUGGUAGUCCAUGCCGUAAACGGUGGGCGCUAGGUGUGGGUUUCCUUCCACGGGAUCCGUGCCGUAGCUAACGCAUUAAGCGCCCCGCCUGGGGAGUACGGCCGCAAGGCUAAAACUCAAAGGAAUUGACGGGGGCCCGCACAAGCGGCGGAGCAUGUGGAUUAAUUCGAUGCAACGCGAAGAACCUUACCUGGGCUUGACAUAUACAGGAUCGCGCCAGAGAUGGUGUUUCCCUUGUGGCUUGUAUACAGGUGGUGCAUGGUUGUCGUCAGCUCGUGUCGUGAGAUGUUGGGUUAAGUCCCGCAACGAGCGCAACCCUUGUCUUAUGUUGCCAGCACGUUGUGGUGGGGACUCGUAAGAAACUGCCGGGGUUAACUCGGAGGAAGGUGGGGAUGACGUCAAAUCAUCAUGCCCCUUAUGUCCAGGGCUUCACACAUGCUACAAUGGUCGGUACAGUGGGUUGCCAGUCCGUGAGGGCGAGCUAAUCCCGCAAAGCCGGUCUCAGUUCGGAUCGGGGUCUGCAACUCGACCCCGUGAAGUCGGAGUCGCUAGUAAUCGCAGAUCAGCAACGCUGCGGUGAAUACGUUCCCGGGCCU
RNAcentral lists this ribosomal RNA (1341 nucleotides) under uncultured bacterium. RNAcentral's name for it is "partial 16S ribosomal RNA". It matches the Rfam family "Bacterial small subunit ribosomal RNA", at positions 28 to 1381 of the family's 1533-position model. The record is from RNAcentral.